RNA transcript from Felis catus (domestic cat), 2932 nucleotides. It is a transcript of the gene named peroxisomal biogenesis factor 3, with no coding region annotated. The record is from RefSeq and is a predicted model, not a curated record. The transcript has 13 exons. Lineage: Eukaryota; Metazoa; Chordata; Mammalia; Carnivora; Felidae.
ACGCCCCCUCCCCGCCCCGGUGACAGUCUCUGCGGAAAGUCGCGUUUGUGAUUUCUGGAGAGCACCGAGCGGGACUACGGAGGUGCUGCCUGGUCGUUGGGGCCAAGUGACGAAGAAACGCUUUCCUGGCGAACAGCCCCUCCCCACCCCCGCCGCCCUUAGACAGCCCGCACCUUCAGGGUCUGAAGAUGCUGAGCUCUGUGUGGAAUUUUCUAAAACGUCACAAAAAGAAAUGCAUCUUCCUGGGCACAGUGCUCGGAGGAGUAUAUAUCCUGGGAAAAUAUGGACAGAAGAAAAUCAGAGAAAUACAAGAAAGAGAGGCUGCAGAAUACAUUGCUCAAGCACGACGACAGUAUCAUUUUGAAAGUAACCAGAGGACUUGCAAUAUGACCGUGCUGUCCAUGCUUCCAACCCUGAGAGAGGCCUUAAUGCAGCAACUCAAUUCCGAGAGCCUCACGGCUCUGCUAAAAAACAGGCCUUCAAACAAGUUAGAAAUAUGGGAGGAUCUAAAGAUAAUAAGUUUCACAAGAAGUAUCGUAGCAGUGUACAGUACUUGUAUGCUGGUUGUUCUUUUGCGAGUCCAGUUAAACAUAAUUGGUGGAUAUAUUUACCUGGAUAAUGCAGCAGUUGGCAAAAAUGGCACUACAGUUCUUGCUCCCCCAGAUGUCCAACAGCAGUAUUUAUCAAGUAUUCAACACCUCCUUGGAGAUGGCCUGACAGAAUUGAUCACUGUCAUUAAACAAGCUGUGCAGAAGAUUUUAGGAAGUGUUUCUCUUAAACAUUCUUUGUCCCUCUUGGACUUGGAGCAAAAACUAAAAGAAAUCCGAGAUCUCGUGGAGCAGCAUAAACCUUCUUCUUGGGUUAAUAAAGACGGAUCCAAAUCUUUGUUAUGCCAUUAUAUGAUGCCAGAUGAAGAAACUCCAUUAGCAGUUCAGGCCUGUGGGCUUUCUCCUAGAGAUGUCACCACUAUUAAACUACUCAAUGAAACCAGAGACAUGUUGGAAAGUCCAGAUUUUAGUACAGUUUUGAAUACAUGUUUAAACCGAGGUUUUAGCAGACUGCUAGACAACAUGGCUGAGUUCUUUCGACCUACUGAACAGGAACUGCAGCGUAGCAACUCCAUGAGUAGUCUUUCCAGUGUCAGCCUGCCAUUAGCUAAGAUAAUUCCAAUAGUAAAUGGACAGAUCCAUUCAGUUUGCAGUGAAACACCUAGUCAUUUUGUUCAGGAUCUGUUGAUGAUGGAGCAAGUGAAAGACUUUGCUGCUAAUGUGUAUGAAGCUUUUAGUACUCCUCAGCAACUGGAGAAAUGAUUUCUUUUCCUUCAAGAAAAACUACAAUGGAAUUCAUUUACUUUUAAAAAUACACUGAAUGAAUCAACUAUAUAUAGGCAGUAUUAACCCAGGAUUUCAUCCAAGGAAUAUUUGAGACUGAACAGGUGUGGCCUUGUAAAAAAAAAAAAAAAAAAAAAAAAAAAAAAAAAGGAUCGUAUUCUGAUCAGCUGACAAUUUUCACCUGGAGUCACCUGCGUCUGUGGCGCCGUGGCAGUUGAAGAGAUGAUCAGGUAAAACCCACAUGCAUUUGAAGCUAACUGGCCUUAGAUAUUACAAAUGUGUCUUCAACUAGUACAAUAGGACCCCUCUUGUCUGGGACCAAUAGUUUGGUUAAUCCAAAGGUCACUUAAAUAAAGCAGGGUAUCUAUCACACACAAAAAAACUUAUUCUUAGAUAUUUUAACUUAAAAUAUAAAUAUUCUUUAGUUGCCACUUAUUUAAUCUAGGGACCAGGUCUUUUCUACCUUUUUCGUAUGGGUCUGCUUUGAGGCACUCCUAACUCCUUCUUAUGCAGAUCACGUGCACUACAUUCCAUUAUAUAAUUGUGAGCCACCGAUACAGAAUGCUUGUAGGUUUUUGCUAUAUUUUCCUCCAAUCUUUUAGAACUGUUUUGCCCACAAUUAGCCAAUAUCUUUAAAUUUUAAAACAGCAACACACUUUUUUUUUCUUUAAGAUUUUAUUUUUAAGUAGUCUCUACCCCCAACAUGGGGCUCACGCUCACAACCCUGAGAUCAGAAGUCUCAUGCUCCACCAACUGAGCCAGCCGGGCGCCCCUAAAAAAACAGCACUUUUAUCGAGUCUUUUCAAAGUUCAGCUUAGUUUUCACAGAAACUACAGCUCUUCGCACUCACGUCAUCAGUUUAUAUACUCAUGAUAGCAAGUUCAACUGGCAUAAUCAGUUUGGUAACUAUUAAUUUCUUAGAGCCGAUGUAACAAAUUAUUGCUAAUUGGGUGACUUAACAGAAAUUUCUCUUCUCACCAUUCUUGAUUUUGGACGUCCAAAAUCAAGGUAUCAGCAGGGCCAUGCUCCCUCUGAAGGCUCUAGGGAAGACUGUUCAAUCCUUUCUUGACUCUCCCAGCCUCUGGUGGCCCAGGUGUCCCUUAGCUUGUAGCAGCAAACUUCGUCUUCGUCUCUUCCUCUGUCUUCACAUGGCCUUCUCUGUGUGUCUGUGCUCUUUCUCUCAUAAGAAUACUCUCACUUAGGACCCACCCACGUACAGUAUGAUCUUGUCUCAAUAUUUAACUUUCGUUACAUCUGCAAAGACGCCAUUUCCAAGUAAGAUCACCUUCUGAGCUUCUAAGCAGAUGUGAAUUGUCGAAGAAUACUCUUCAGCCCCUAUAGUAACAAACUCUACGCGACUUGGUAAACACAGAUUGCAGCAAGUGGAAAUCAAAAUGAAGGGUGCACCAGAUAGACGCCUACUAACUGAAAGCCUGCAGCCUGCCCUAGGCACCUCCUUUUCUGAGGAGAUGAAGACCAUCAGUUUAUCCCGUGAAUUGGUUACAUGGAGAUUACUUAAAACUGCUUCUAUUUUUUCUCCUUCAAACUUGUAUAAAUGUGUCUGUUACUGUGUAUAUAUAAAAAUUUUACAUGAGCACUUA